RNAcentral lists this ribosomal RNA (497 nucleotides) under uncultured bacterium. RNAcentral describes it as "partial 16S ribosomal RNA". It matches the Rfam family "Bacterial small subunit ribosomal RNA", at positions 28 to 507 of the family's 1533-position model. The record is from RNAcentral.
GACGAACGCUGGCGGCGUGCCUAAUACAUGCAAGUUGAGCGCUGAAGGUUGGUACUUGUACCAACUGGAUGAGCAGCGAACGGGUGAGUAACGCGUGGGGAAUCUGCCUUUGAGCGGGGGACAACAUUUGGAAACGAAUGCUAAUACCGCAUAAAAACUUUAAACACAAGUUUUAAGUUUGAAAGAUGCAAUUGCAUCACUCAAAGAUGAUCCCGCGUUGUAUUAGCUAGUUGGUGAGGUAAAGGCUCACCAAGGCGAUGAUACAUAGCCGACCUGAGAGGGUGAUCGGCCACAUUGGGACUGAGACAUGGCCCAAACUCCUACGGGAGGCAGCAGUAGGGAAUCUUCGGCAAUGGACGAAAGUCUGACCGAGCAACGCCGCGUGAGUGAAGAAGGUUUUCGGAUCGUAAAACUCUGUUGGUAGAGAAGAACGUUGGUGAGAGUGGAAAGCUCAUCAAGUGACGGUAACUACACAGAAAGGGACGGCUAACUACGUG